GAUGAACGCUGGCGGCGUGCUUAACACAUGCAAGUCGAGCGAAGCGCUUUGGUUAGAUUCUUCGGAUGAAGACCUUUGUGACUGAGCGGCGGACGGGUGAGUAACGCGUGGGUAACCUGCCUCAUACAGGGGGAUAACAGUUAGAAAUGACUGCUAAUACCGCAUAAGACCACAGUACCGCAUGGUACAGGGGUAAAAACUCCGGUGGUAUGAGAUGGACCCGCGUCUGAUUAGCUGGUUGGCGGGUAACGCCUACCAAGGCGACGAUCAGUAGCCGGCCUGAGAGGGCACCGGGCACAUUGGGACUGAGACACGGGCCCAAACUCCUACGGGAGGCAGCAGUGGGGAAUAUUGCACAAUGGGCAAAGGCUGAACCAGCCAAGUCGCGUGAGGGAUGAAGGUUC
RNAcentral lists this ribosomal RNA (404 nucleotides) under uncultured bacterium. Its description in RNAcentral is "bacterial SSU rRNA". It matches the Rfam family "Bacterial small subunit ribosomal RNA", at positions 28 to 417 of the family's 1533-position model. The record is from RNAcentral.